UGUCACAAACAUGAAUAUAUAUGGUUAAGGGGUGUGGAUCUCGACCGUUUCCAAGUUCUCAAACAGGAGGGGGUGGGGUAUCUCCAGGGACUCCCCCUAUAUUUCAUUUUUUAUUUAUUAUAUUGUCCUAUACUUGAAUAUAUGCAGGGGGGGUUGCGGGCUUGCACCCCCCUUAAGUUUGCAAGCAUGGGUUCUUCUCAGCUUAAUAAAGAAAAUUCCGAUAAUUUUACCUCAAUUUUUUUUUUUAAUAAGCUGAGAACAGCUCGGCGAAAAUUUAAGUUUGCGCCCCUCCUAACCUAAAAUCCUGGAUCUGCCCCUCAUAUGGUUUAGGGGUGGGGAGCUCGACCGUUUCCAAGUUAUCAAACAGGAGGGGGUAGAGUGGCCCAAAGAAUUCCACCUAUAUAUCAUAUGAUUUACUUACAUUAAGGUAUAUAUAAUAUAGUUGCAUUAUUUGUGAAAAUAAAGAAUGAAACUUUCAGCUACUUUAAUUGACCCUUCAAAAUUGAGAAAAAACAAAUAACCCCUCGAAAUUGCAGUAAUAUGUUUACACUUUAAAAGCAUCUCACAUGCAUUAUCAUCAUUUAUCAUUUAUAAAGAAAAUUUAGACUGUGACCAUGAACAUGUAUAUUGUUAGAUAUACUGUUCCCAGCUGUCACGUUGUAUUGGAUCAUUUUAAAUUAAAAUUUAUCAAAAAGUAAUUUUUAGUUUCUGAAUAAAAUAUUUUUUAGCUUUUUCUUUCUUUUACAUAUAUCUUUUGGUUUACAAUACUAGUGUUUAUAUUCAUUUAUCAUGCAUAGAUGUAUUUUUUCACCUGCUUGGAUUUAUUUUGUAAAUGAUCGUCAAACCCGGAAUUAUCCUUAUCCGCUUCCGGAAUCGGAUCCGAUUUUGUAAAAUUUUGUCUUCACGGCCGCCAUUGUUAUGUGUUUACAAUGUUGUUUUUGUCAAUCAGAUACGAUUUUACUCGAAUUUAUACAAUAUUUGUCGGCGAUUUUCUGUAUAAAGCUAGCGGUUGAACAAAAUGAACAUCGCCGUCACGAAUAAUAAUGAUAAAAAUAAGUUUUUAGCUCGUUUAAUUGGAGACUUUGGUGAACAUGGUGCCGAAAAGGUUUGCAAAGUAAUUUCUUAUUUUCUUUCAAAUGUAAGGCGACUACGUCGGGCGUAGCUAGAAACCAACUAUCCUAGUCGAAAUUCCGCUUGCAAAAGUGGAAGGUCUCGGACCACCGCUAAUUUGCACACCUGCCUCCAAAUUGAAAAGCUACGAAAAUUUCUUUUUCUAAUUUGAAAUUGCCGCCAACAGCAUGAACAGUUGAAUUAUAUAAUAGACUACUGACGUAGUUGUACUACGUAUUGAUGACAAACAAUAUUCCUACGACUUUUGUCAUUUGGGAAAUCUAAACUGCUCGUCUUAAGAGAUUUUCGGCGAUUAAAUAUUUCAUACAAUUGUUCUUUGACAUCUUAGCUAAAAGCACGAGUCAUAAUGAACUACACAAGGAUUUUUAAUAAGCACUACUUCCUAUGUGUAACUUUAAAACUUUUGGAUAAAUCGACGAUCAUUUAAGGUUUUUCUGGUCAUUUUUUUUGUAAUCCAGAAUAAAAAGUAUUAAAAAAGUGUUCAAUUAGUUAUAUAUAACAUAGUAACAAGCUAGAUAAUAACAAUGGCAAGUAUUUCAGGAUUUAUUGGGUAGAACACAAAUCUAGGGUGCUCGCAUAAUGCAGCUUAACUGCAUAAAAAUUAGAUGUGAUAUUUUCAAGUUCCUUAGACCUACAAAAUCAAUAUGUGAUUAUCCCUCCAGA
This 1794-nucleotide long non-coding RNA is filed under the name Mytilus galloprovincialis (Mediterranean mussel). Lineage: Eukaryota; Metazoa; Mollusca; Bivalvia; Mytilida; Mytilidae. The record is from RNAcentral.